This is a non-coding RNA of Arthromyces matolae, 82 nucleotides long. The record is from the annotation of a GenBank genome assembly. Lineage: Eukaryota; Fungi; Basidiomycota; Agaricomycetes; Agaricales; Lyophyllaceae.
UCCGGUAUGGUGUAACGGCUAACAUUGCCGCCUUUCAUUCGGCAGUGCGCGGCAGCUCGGGGUUCGAUUCCCCGUACCGGAG